GGUUCAGGAUGAACGCUGGCGGCGUGCCUAACACAUGCAAGUCGAACGAAGCAUACGGACCGGAGAUUCGUCGAAGGACCGCAUGACUUAGUGGCGGACGGGUGAGUAAUGUAUGAGCAACCUGCCUUUCAGAGGGGGACAACAGUUGGAAACGACUGCUAAUACCGCGUAACGUAUCGUGAGGGCAUCCUCGUGAUACCAAAGGAGCAAUCCGCUGAAAGAUGGGCUCAUAUCUGAUUAGCUUGUUGGCGGGGUAACGGCCCACCAAGGCGACGAUCAGUAGCCGGACUGAGAGGUUGAACGGCCACAUUGGGACUGAGAUACGGCCCAGACUCCUACGGGAGGCAGCAGUGGGGAAUAUUGGGCAAUGGGCGAAAGCCCUGACCCAGCAACGCCGCGUGAAGGAAGAAGGUCUUCGGAUUGUAAACUUCUUUUAUGAGGGACGAAGGACGUGACGGUACCUCAUGAAUAAGCCACGGCUAACUACGUGCCAGCCGCCGC
RNAcentral lists this ribosomal RNA (501 nucleotides) under uncultured bacterium. RNAcentral describes it as "bacterial SSU rRNA". It matches the Rfam family "Bacterial small subunit ribosomal RNA", at positions 21 to 518 of the family's 1533-position model. The record is from RNAcentral.